AAUUUGGCCUUUAAUUAAGGUCUUGUAUGAAUGGAAUUACGGAGUUGAACUGUCUCUAGUGUUAGAUAUUUGUAAGUUAAUUAUAAGGUGAAAAUUCCUUAAUAUAAUAUUUUAGACGAGAAGACCCUUAGAGUUUUUAUAAAUGAGUUUAUAUAUAAUUUUUAACUCUUGAUUUUUGUUGGGGCGACAAGGAAUGCACAUAUAGUACCCUUCUUAAUUAUCUAUUUUUAUAUGACGAUAUUAUAAUAUGAAUGAAUAAACUACCUAAGGGAUAACAGCAUAAUUUUAUAUAAGAUUG
RNAcentral lists this ribosomal RNA (298 nucleotides) under Austroborus dorbignyi. Its description in RNAcentral is "partial 16S ribosomal RNA". Lineage: Eukaryota; Metazoa; Mollusca; Gastropoda; Stylommatophora; Strophocheilidae. The record is from RNAcentral.